RNAcentral lists this ribosomal RNA (484 nucleotides) under uncultured bacterium. RNAcentral's name for it is "bacterial SSU rRNA". It matches the Rfam family "Bacterial small subunit ribosomal RNA", at positions 28 to 507 of the family's 1533-position model. The record is from RNAcentral.
GAUGAACGCUAGCGGCAGGCCUAAUACAUGCAAGUCGAACGGUAGAUCGGGUAGCAAUACUUGAUUGAGAGUGACGUAAGGGUGCGUAACACGUAUGCAAUCUACCCUCAACAGGAGUAUAGCUCGGGGAAACUCGGAUUAACACUCCAUAACAUUACGAUGUGGCAUCACAUUGUGAUUAAAACUCCGGUGGUUGAGGAUGAGCAUGCGUCUGAUUAGUUAGUUGGAGGUGUAACGGACCCCCAAGACGAUGAUCAGUAGGGGAACUGAGAGGUUGAUCCCCCACACUGGCACUGAGAUACGGGCCAGACUCCUACGGGAGGCAGCAGUAGGGAAUAUUGGUCAAUGGGUGAGAGCCUGAACCAGCCAUGCCGCGUGCAGGAAGACGGCCUUCUGGGUUGUAAACUGCUUUUUAUCUGGGGAUAAAAAGCCCAUGCGUGGGACAUUGAAGGUACCAGAUGAAUAAGCACCGGCUAACUACGUG